AUUGAACGCUGGCGGCAGGCCUAACACAUGCAAGUCGAGCGGCAGCGGGAAAGUAGCUUGCUACUUUUGCCGGCGAGCGGCGGACGGGUGAGUAAUGCCUGGGAAAUUGCCCAGUCGAGGGGGAUAACAGUUGGAAACGACUGCUAAUACCGCAUACGCCCUACGGGGGAAAGCAGGGGACCUUCGGGCCUUGCGCGACUGGAUAUGCCCAGGUGGGAUUAGCUAGUUGGUGAGGUAAUGGCUCACCAAGGCGACGAUCCCUAGCUGGUCUGAGAGGAUGAUGAGCCACACUGGAACUGAGACACGGUCCAGACUCCUACGGGAGGCAGCAGUGGGGAAUAUUGCACAAUGGGGGAAACCCUGAUGCAGCCAUGCCGCGUGUGUGAAGAAGGCCUUCGGGUUGUAAAGCACUUUCAGCGAGGAGGAAAGGUUGAUGCCUAAUACGUAUCAACUGUGACGUUACUCGCAGAAGAAGCACCGGCUAACUCCGUGCCAGCCGCCGUAGUAA
This 508-nucleotide ribosomal RNA is filed under the name uncultured bacterium. Its description in RNAcentral is "partial 16S ribosomal RNA". It matches the Rfam family "Bacterial small subunit ribosomal RNA", at positions 30 to 523 of the family's 1533-position model. The record is from RNAcentral.